This 216-nucleotide ribosomal RNA is filed under the name Glomeromycotina sp. RNAcentral's name for it is "partial small subunit ribosomal RNA". The stretch from base 40 to 216 matches the Rfam family "Eukaryotic small subunit ribosomal RNA", at positions 686 to 864 of the family's 1831-position model. Lineage: Eukaryota; Fungi; Glomeromycota. The record is from RNAcentral.
GGGUCAGUAGGUUGGUCGUGCCACCGGUACGUACUGGUCUCACUGAUUCCUCCUUCCUGAAGAACCGUAAUGCCAUUAAUUUGGUGUUGCGGGGAAACAGGACUGUUACUUUGAAAAAAUUAGAGUGUUUAAAGCAAGCUAACGCUUGAAUACAUUAGCAUGGAAUAAUGAAAUAGGACGACCGAUCCUGAUUUGUUGGUUUCUAGGAUUGACGUA